CAUUUUCAUACAUAAACUAGGCAUGAUUAAUUUUAUGCUUUACUAAAUCUCCACUUAGUUUUAGAUCGCUAUUUGUCCCGGUUAAGAAUCAUGAGAAAUAAAUCCGUACUAAAAAUAUUUUAUGACAGUUAUAGAGGCCCAAUUUAGCCCGGGCCCGAAACAAAACUAAAAAUAAUAAAAAAUAUAUCAGUCCAUGUACAACGGGCCAAAAUAGCCCGAUUUUUAAAACCCUAAAUGGCCCAUUGGGGCCCAAAAACUAAACAGCACAGGGAACCCUAGGGUUCCCUGCCCUUGCCUCGUGCCACUGCUACCCAUGUGCGCCUUCAACGCGCACCACGCCUGAGGUCUGCCACCGCUAGCUGCGCCUUGCACCAAAAUGGAAGCUUUCCGUCUCCGUUGACUUCACCAGGACCUGCAAACGAAACAAAUAGACGAAAACAAUAGCCAAUAAAUAGAAACGAAGACAGUAAAAACAAAGAGGAGGAAAAGGUUGGAUUUUCGGCUUUAUAAGCCUGAAAAUAACUAUGUAAUGGGGGCUUGAUCACUGCAAUUUUGGGAGGGAGAUAAAACGAUUGAAAAAAUUAUUGCUGAAUCAAUAAAAAAUCAAAAAUCUUUGAAGAGAAUGUUUUUCUUUUUUUUUCAUUCCGUUUCUUUGAUUUGUUUUUAUCUGUUUCCUUUUUAUUUAAUCAUGUAUAUAUAUAAGAUUGUAUAUAUGAAAUAAAAAGAGGGAAAAGACGGGAAGAAACCUUACCUGCGCCGUCGACGGAUCUAAAUCGAAAAAGGCGUCAGGGGGUUUCCUUUUCGGCUUUGGGGGUUGAUGACCCGAAUCUUCAGGGCCUUCUUGCGCCGCGUCGGCCUUUGGCCUUGGUGGCCAUACGGCAGAGCGCCGUUGAGACAAGCGCCGGAGUUAGGAGAACCAAAGAGGGAUGGGGAAGCUCCCUCUCUUUCUUUUUUUUUUUAUUCUUGCGGCUGUAAAUGAGAU
RNAcentral lists this long non-coding RNA (982 nucleotides) under Gossypium barbadense (sea-island cotton). Its description in RNAcentral is "long non-coding RNA (GBAR_LNC016849)". The record is from RNAcentral. Lineage: Eukaryota; Viridiplantae; Streptophyta; Magnoliopsida; Malvales; Malvaceae.